This 75-nucleotide transfer RNA is filed under the name Leifsonia sp. Leaf264. RNAcentral describes it as "tRNA-Thr". It matches the Rfam family "tRNA". From Rfam's summary of the family: Transfer RNA (tRNA) molecules are approximately 80 nucleotides in length. Their secondary structure includes four short double-helical elements and three loops (D, anti-codon, and T loops). Further hydrogen bonds mediate the characteristic L-shaped molecular structure. tRNAs have two regions of fundamental functional importance: the anti-codon, which is responsible for specific mRNA codon recognition, and the 3' end, to which the tRNAs corresponding amino acid is attached (by aminoacyl-tRNA synthetases). tRNAs cope with the degeneracy of the genetic code in two manners: having more than one tRNA (with a specific anti-codon) for a particular amino acid; and 'wobble' base-pairing, i.e. permitting non-standard base-pairing at the 3rd anti-codon position. Lineage: Bacteria; Bacillati; Actinomycetota; Actinomycetes; Micrococcales; Microbacteriaceae. The record is from RNAcentral.
GCCGUCUUAGCUCAGUGGUAGAGCACUUCCUUGGUAAGGAAGAGGUCGUGGGUUCGAGCCCCACAGAUGGCUCCA